Molecule: ribosomal RNA, 343 nt
Filed under: uncultured Pseudomonadota bacterium
Lineage: Bacteria; Pseudomonadati; Pseudomonadota
Description: bacterial SSU rRNA
Rfam family: Bacterial small subunit ribosomal RNA
Source: RNAcentral
AAUGAACGCUGGCGGCGUGCAUAACACAUGCAAGUCGAACGAGAAACUCCGGGCUUGCUCGGAGGAGUAAAGUGGCGCACGGGUGAGUAACGCGUGGGUAACCUACCCCUGAAUCUGGAAUAACCCACCGAAAGGUGGACUAAUACCGGAUAUUGUCCCGAAGACGCAUGUUUUUGGGAUAAAAGGUGACCUCUUCAUGAAAGUUGUCGUUCGGGGAGGGGCUCGCGUACCAUUAGCUAGUUGGUAGGGUAAUGGCCUACCAAGGCUAGGAUGGUUAGCUGGUCUGAGAGGAUGAUCAGCCACACUGGAACUGGAACACGGUCCAGACUCCUACGGGAGGCUG